GGUGCCAUAGCUCAGUUGGUAGAGCAAAGGACUGAAAAUCCUAGUGUCCCCGGUUCGAUUCCUGGUGGCACCA
This 73-nucleotide transfer RNA is filed under the name Candidatus Caccoplasma merdavium. RNAcentral's name for it is "tRNA-Phe". It matches the Rfam family "tRNA". From Rfam's summary of the family: Transfer RNA (tRNA) molecules are approximately 80 nucleotides in length. The record is from RNAcentral. Lineage: Bacteria; Pseudomonadati; Bacteroidota; Bacteroidia; Bacteroidales; Bacteroidaceae.